UAGUGAGAUAUAUUGUGAUCUCCAUCGUAAUAUCAUCGAAACUCUUUUCAAUAGAUUGGAAUAUUUUUAAUUCUAUCCUUCGAAGAUCAUCGAUCAUCAAGAUGAUGUCCGAUGAUUUUCACAAUCUAUCUGUGAUAUCUAGCAGUAUGUUGUGGCAAUCUAGUAAAAUAAAAGUAUGAACCCCUAGAUGCAGUUAUCAUAUGAUUCAGUUCUUCUAUCAUGAGUUCCGACUUGAUGGAGGUCAUGAAGAACUCGUCAGAUCCCAUUAUUAGUCAUAUGCUAGAUUGACUCGACUUGAGUUCAUUUAUGAAUUCCGUGGAAACUCUUUUGAAGGAACC
Molecule: long non-coding RNA, 338 nt
Filed under: Elaeis guineensis (African oil palm)
Lineage: Eukaryota; Viridiplantae; Streptophyta; Magnoliopsida; Arecales; Arecaceae
Description: long non-coding RNA (EGUI_LNC040671)
Source: RNAcentral